RNAcentral lists this unclassified non-coding RNA (648 nucleotides) under Hevea brasiliensis (rubber tree). Lineage: Eukaryota; Viridiplantae; Streptophyta; Magnoliopsida; Malpighiales; Euphorbiaceae. The record is from RNAcentral.
CAGAUACAUAGAUAAUUUAAAUUAAGAUAGCAGUAGAUUGUUUACUUAUUUAGGUAGCAAACCUUUGUACUACAUAUAGCCAAAGUAACUACCACAAACACACAUAAUAUUACUUUCACCACACAUAUAUUAUAUAUAUGUGUGUGUAAAAUUUAGUCAUCCAAAUUCUUGAGAGCCCAGUUGACCUUCUGGCUCUGACUGUAGCUAUUUUGGUGGCUUCCACCAAAACCUAGUCCAUGUCCAUGACCAUGACCAUGACUUCCAUGAUGUCCCAUGGCCAUGGACGACAUAUGGGCGUGGGAUGAUUGGUUCAUUCCACUACCAUAACCACCAUCACUAUGGACCAUGCUUGUGCUACUUGAGAAGUUGGUUGAUUCAUGUGGCAUAUGGCCAUGACUUCCAUAGUUGCUAUGGCCAUGGCCAUGGCUUCCAUAAUAUCCGCCACUGUGUUGGCUGACCAUCAUGUGAUUAUUGUGAGAAGACUGAGAAAAUGGCAUGGCGAAAGGCCUCAUCAUUUGUCCAUGGUUGCUCUCCGCGGAAUAGUGGUUGUGUUCAUGAGAGAAUGAUUGAUGAUGACCAAGUUGAUUUUGGAGAACCAUUAUUGAAUAUUGAUGAUGUUUGUAGUAGCUACACAACAAUUAACUAAAG